AAAGAAAACGAAAUGUGCUUUCAAUCUCGGAUGCAGAGUACCACGUGGUUGUCUCCCUGUUCUGCUUUCCAGAUCCCAAAUCACACACCCCGGGCGCCCCCGCCCCCCUAUUCCCUCCGUCUCUGACCCCCGCGGCCGGAGAUGGUGAGCGAGGCCACGGCCGUCAGGAAGAAGGCGAGCAUCGAGGCGACGACGAGGCCGAGCAGCGUCUCGCGGUCGGUGAAGGUGCGGCCGAAGAGCACGACGGGCUGGUCGGAGGCGGGGAAGCCAUAGAGGAAGCACCAGGCCUGCGCCGAGGAUGCUGAGGAGGACGAGGAGUGAGAAGGGGUGCGCCAGCAGCGAGGCCGCGAGGAAGAAGACCACCACAGCAGACGCGGAAAUAACGAGAUUGCGGCGCAGGCGCGAGGUGGCUGUUGUGACAAAAUUGGAAUGAGCCCAGUUUUUUCGGUACUCUAUUUGAGCAUGUUACAUCGGAGUAUCGUGUGCUUUUCAAUUGACGAAUUUCAUUCCCCCCAAUUGAAUCAGGUGUCCCUUAUUGUUUUUACUUGGAAAUCUGCACCAAAUCAGUUUGUGUGCCUGCUAUCUAGAGCCUGUUAUUUUCGCCCAUAUCUUGUAUGUCAUUUAUAAUUAUUCUUUUUCAUAAGUAUGUACGGCUUUUACAAACUUCAGAGGCUUGCGAAUGAGAGCUGCGAUGAAGUAUGCAUGGUGUUCUUGCUGUUUUGUUUGCUGAGACUGUGGCCAAAGAGUAAGUGAUCUGUUACUGAACCUAAACAUUGCAAGAGAGCAUGGGCAAUGGGCCUGCGAUUUCCUCCUGGCCUUAUUGUAUUAGUACUACUAGGAAGUAUCUGAUGGUGGAAGAAGUUGUGGGAUAGAUUAUCCACUAUAUAUAGAAAGUUCAAUGUGCCAAAUUUCAGUUAUCAAAUGAGGGUGCAUAUCACCAUUUGAAAUUUUGUAAUGUUCAACAUCUAUUCUCAGCGACAACCCUAUAAAAAAAAUCUGUGUCAACUGUAAAACAUCUGCAUUGUUUGCUGAAUCCUUAGUUCUGUAACUAUCAUGAUAGAUACCGAACCAUCUGUAUCCAGAGUCUACUUCGGACAUCUUGUGGCUAGAGUAUAUAGUAAUGGUGAUUAGUAAAACAAUAAUAUAAGAUCUGCAUUGUGUUAAUGGAUCAAUUGUUGGUUUUGUUGUGGAAUUUUGAAACCUGUUUCACCUGAAUGUAUAUGUCAAGGUUCUAUCGGCAAGGUUUGAAGUUGUGGGAUCUAACUUUGAACUAGAAGUAUUUUGCUAUUUUCCAAUUGUGUGGUCGCCACGAAAGAGUUACUGUCAGUUCUUCAUAUAUGAACAAUUAAUUUAUUUAUUUCCAAUUUAACAAGAGAGUAGAUCUGAUAUUAUAUUAGGACGAUUUUUCUUUAUAUGGAGAAAGUGCUUUUGUUCAGUGUCAGAUUAGCCAAUGUUACUGGUUAUUAAAAAGAGUUGGCUGGGUUAGUUGAGUUGUACAAGUUCUCAUUUGCACAAUUUCCAUUUUGUAUGUCAAUAGGGAUCCUGAUUGGUUGAUCAAUAUUUUUUUACCUGACUUUUUUGUUUUUUUGGUAAAUCAUGCUGCUGUACCUGAUUACAGGGACAUAUUAUAGCUAAGAUGACAUCUAUGGAGAAGCACAUCAAUGAAGAAAAAACGGCAUGGCUGGUUAAUAUUUGUCUCAGAACUGGAAGAGAUGGUCAUGAAGACUGCUGAAAAUGAUAUCCGGCUUGCAAGGUGCGCUUUGAAGUAUAUAUGCAGAUAGUGAAAUUUAGGCUCACCGCAAGUUGCUCUUACACCUUCAAUAGAUUAUUGAGGGCCAUUCUGCAGCCAUUGAGGUGAGGAAACUGUCACUAGCUAAGAAGUAUGUCUCUUAAAACAACUAAAUAACAUAUACACCAUGCCAUGCUAUCCUGUUACAUUUCCUCAGUCAAGCACACAACACCUAUGAUGUAUGAUAAAAUUGACGAAUUAAAAUGGGGUCACUGUUUCUGGCAAAAAAAAAGUGCGCUGCAUAUAGUUUCACUUAAUUAGAACUGGUCAAGUAAGAGAGUGACCAUGGUAUAUUUAUUUUCUUUACAUGGUUUUGUUUGUAAAGCAAACUUAUAAUUUUGAUAUGUAUGUUCCAAGUAUAGUUAAUUAGAGGGCCCCAUAUGUCAUGGACACAUGAUUACUGUGAUGAUAAGAGACACCUGAAGCGAAUGAAUUUGGAAAUGGAAGGAAAUAUUUGAUAAGGAGAUCGUUGCAUGAUGAGGUCAGGAUUCAUAUGUAUGUUUGUUGAUUAUUCCCAGCUGAAUAUUCUGAUUCAAUUUUAUUUUCAACAACUUGAAAUUAUUGAUGGCCACAUUUCUCUGUAUAUGAUUUAGGCUUUGCAGAAGUGGCAACAAUUUCUAUUUCUUCUGGCGGACAGGUUUUGUUGGUGUAUAAUACAUUACGCUGUCGUGUGGCUAGGGGUCUUAAAAGAAUUAUAUAUUUUGUCAGACAAGAAAGUCCACUAUCUUUGUAGCAACAAAUGCACACAUUGUUUAGGUGGAAUCUGCGGGCUUAUCUAAAGUAACAGUUUUCAUAGUGCAGGAUCAAUGUUCAUUUUCUUAAAUAUGAAUAAUUUUCUCUUGUUCAUGGUUGCUCUAGCAAAUAAGUGUUCUUCGUUGCUCU
Molecule: long non-coding RNA, 2671 nt
Organism: Brachypodium distachyon (stiff brome)
Lineage: Eukaryota; Viridiplantae; Streptophyta; Magnoliopsida; Poales; Poaceae
Exons: 3
Source: RefSeq, a predicted model, not a curated record